UAACUAAAUACUAUGCAAGCUGUAGGUCC
RNAcentral lists this non-coding RNA (29 nucleotides) under Mus musculus (house mouse). The record is from RNAcentral. Lineage: Eukaryota; Metazoa; Chordata; Mammalia; Rodentia; Muridae.